RNAcentral lists this unclassified non-coding RNA (310 nucleotides) under plant metagenome. RNAcentral's name for it is "partial contains 5.8S ribosomal RNA, internal transcribed spacer 2, and large subunit ribosomal RNA". The stretch from base 1 to 105 matches the Rfam family "5.8S ribosomal RNA", at positions 50 to 154 of the family's 154-position model. The record is from RNAcentral.
GAAAUGCGAUAAGUAGUGUGAAUUGCAGAAUUCAGUGAAUCAUCGAAUCUUUGAAGGCACAUUGCGCCCCUUGGUAUUCCAUGGGGCAUGCCUGUUCGAGCGUCAUUUGUACCCUCAAGCUCUGCUUGGUGUUGGGUGUUUGUCCCCGUCUCCGCGCGCGGACUCGCCCCAAAGUGAUUGGCAGCCGGCGUACUGGUCCCGGAGCGCAGCACAUGUCGCGCAAACGAGUGCCUUGGUACGGCGGCGUCCAUAAGCCCCUCUCUCACGCUCUUGACCUCGGAUCAGGUAGGGAUACCCGCUGAACUUAAGC